CCUACGGGUGGCAGCAGUGGGGGAUAUUGCACAAUGGGGGCAACCCUGAUGCAGCGAUGCCGCGUGAGUGAAGAAGUAUUUCGGUAUGUAAAGCUCUAUCAGCAGGGAAGAAAAUGAUAGUACUUGUACACGAAGCCCCGGCUAACUACGUGCCAGCAGCCGCGGUAAUACGGCGGGGGCAAGCGUUAUCCGGAUUUACUGGGUGUAACGGUAGCGUAGACGGUUAUGUAAGUCAGGAGUGAAAGCCCGGGGCCCAACCCCGGGACUGCUUUGGAGACUGGGAAACUGGAGUACAGGAGGGGGAGGCAGAAUUCCUGGUGGAGCGGUGAAAUGCGUAGAGAGCAGGAGGAACACCGGCGGCGAAGGCGGCCUGCUGGACUGAGACUGACGUUGAGGCGCGAAAGCGUGGGGAGCAAACAGGAUUAGAUACCCCAGUAGUC
This 440-nucleotide ribosomal RNA is filed under the name uncultured bacterium. RNAcentral's name for it is "partial 16S ribosomal RNA". It matches the Rfam family "Bacterial small subunit ribosomal RNA", at positions 338 to 795 of the family's 1533-position model. The record is from RNAcentral.